This 433-nucleotide ribosomal RNA is filed under the name uncultured bacterium. RNAcentral's name for it is "partial 16S ribosomal RNA". It matches the Rfam family "Bacterial small subunit ribosomal RNA", at positions 29 to 507 of the family's 1533-position model. The record is from RNAcentral.
AGCGAACGCUGGCGGCAGGCCUAACACAUGCAAGUCGAACGAACUCUUCGGAGUUAGUGGCGGACGGGUGAGUAACACGUGGGAACGUGCCUUUUGGUUCGGAAUAACUCAGGGAAACUUGUGCUAAUACCGAAUGUGCCCUUCGGGGGAAAGAUUUAUCGCCAUUAGAGCGGCCCGCGUCUGAUUAGCUCGUUGGUGAGGUAACGGCUCACCAAGGCGACGAUCAGUAGCUGGUCUGAGAGGAUGACCAGCCACACUGGGACUGAGACACGGCCCAGACUCCUACGGGAGGCAGCAGUGGGGAAUCUUGCGCAAUGGGCGAAAGCCUGACGCAGCCAUGCCGCGUGAAUGAUGAAGGUCUUAGGAUUGUAAAAUUCUUUCACCGGGGACGAUAAUGACGGUACCCGGAGAAGAAGCCCCGGCUAACUUCGUG